GGACCAGAUGUUUUCACCGGUGCUUUAUUUAAGCAAUGUUUGGUAAUCAUUAAAAAGGAUUCCAUGAAGGCUAUCAACCACUUUGGCAACCUGCAUGACGCCAACCUUCCUUGGCACAACACCGCCAACAUCGUGAUGUUGCCUAAAAAAGAGGGUGCAGAGGGGAUGGCCGAAUAUAGACCUAUUAGCCUCAUUCACGCAUUUGCAAAGAUUAUAGCCAAAAUUCUAGCCAUGCGGUUAGGUCCCCACAUGGGCACCCUCAUUUUCAAAGCCCAAAGUUCUUUCAUCAAGAGGAGGAGAAUCCAUGAUAAAUUCAUGUAUGUGCGCAAUCUCGGGCAUAGCCUUCACAAGAGAGAAAAAACCUUCCUAUUGUUUAAGCUUGACAUCUGAAAGGCGUUUGACUCGGUUCGUUGGGAGCACCUUCUUGAUAUACUCCAAUAUAGGGGCUUCCCUAGCAAGUUCAGAGAUUGGAUUGCUACUUUGUUGUGCUCCUCGUCAUCUCGAGUGUUUCUCAAUGGUGUGGCCAACCCCCAUCAAGCAUUCCCGAGGCUUACGUCGUGGAUCCGCUAUCCCCAUUUCAUCAUUGUUAUCGAACCCCUUCAACACAUCCUUGACUUGGUAACAUCGCAUGGCCUCCUUCACAAGGUUAGGGGUCAGGGAGCCAUCAUGAGAUAUUGA
This 678-nucleotide ribosomal RNA is filed under the name Triticum aestivum (bread wheat). RNAcentral describes it as "partial small subunit ribosomal RNA". Lineage: Eukaryota; Viridiplantae; Streptophyta; Magnoliopsida; Poales; Poaceae. The record is from RNAcentral.